AGAGUUUGAUCCUGGCUCAGGACGAACGCUGGCGGCGUGCUUUACACAUGCAAGUCGAGCGAUGAGAUCCCUUCGGGGAUGGAUUAGCGGCGAACGGGUGAGGAACACGUGAGGAAUCUACCUUCAACACUGGGAUAACUCCGGGAAACCGGGGCUAAUACCGGAUACGAGAACCGCAGGCAUCUGUGGCUCUGGAAAGUUUUUCGGUUGAAGAUGACCUCGCGGCCUAUCAGCUUGUUGGUGAGGUAAUGGCUCACCAAGGCGACGACGGGUAGCCGGCCUGAGAGGGCGACCGGCCACACUGGGACUGAGACACGGCCCAGACUCCUACGGGAGGCAGCAGUGGGGAAUAUUGGGCAAUGGAGGGAACUCUGACCCAGCGACGCCGCGUGCGGGAUGAAGGCCUUCGGGUUGUAAACCGCUUUCAGCAGGGAAGAAGCGAAAGUGACGGUACCUGCAGAAGAAGCACCGGCUAACUAUGUGCCAGCAGCCGCGGUAAUACAUAGGGUGCAAGCGUUGUCCGGAAUUAUUGGGCGUAAAGAGCUCGUAGGUGGUUCGUCGCGUCGGAUGUGAAAAUCUAGGGCUUAACCCUAGACCUGCACUCGAUACGGGCGAGCUAGAGUGUGGUAGGGGAGACUGGAAUUCCUGGUGUAGCGGUGGAAUGCGCAGAUAUCAGGAGGAACACCAAUGGCGAAGGCAGGCCUCUGGGCCAUUACUGACACUGAGGAGCGAAAGCGUGGGGAGCGAACAGGAUUAGAUACCCUGGUAGAAUCACUAGUGAAUUC
Molecule: ribosomal RNA, 785 nt
Filed under: uncultured Actinomycetes bacterium
Lineage: Bacteria; Bacillati; Actinomycetota; Actinomycetes
Description: bacterial SSU rRNA
Rfam family: Bacterial small subunit ribosomal RNA
Source: RNAcentral